Pogoniulus pusillus (Red-fronted tinkerbird) is the source of this 397-nucleotide long non-coding RNA. RefSeq lists it as uncharacterized. NCBI's taxonomy places the organism in Eukaryota, Metazoa, Chordata, Aves, Piciformes, Lybiidae. The record is from RefSeq and is a predicted model, not a curated record. The transcript has 2 exons.
CUGGCCUGAAGUAUGGAUCUUGCCAUGGCUUUCUGACUUGAAAAUGUAUGGGAUGUUUCACUAUGAUGUUGAUUCCCAAGGUGAGUCUGGGAAAGGAUUGAGCACAUUUUCCCCAGGACAGCUCCAUGCAUUUUCUAUUCCUGAUCAAGAUCUAUUCAUUGGGCAAGUGCUGUUUAAUCAAGCAACAGGAAAAGGGUGUGUGCUGUCUUCAGAAGUACAAAGAAAUCUCAUUCAAAGACAGUCCCGUUCUUAAAAGGCUGGUGUUUAAAUUAGACCUGCCCAGACAGGUCUGGCAUGUUUUGUGUGACCCCCUUUUUACUGUGGAUGUUCCGGUUACAACUAUCUUACUGCUUCCAUUUGGAAUAAAAACACAACUGCUAUUAAAAACAUAGACCGA